Long non-coding RNA from Mastomys coucha (southern multimammate mouse), 530 nucleotides. RefSeq lists it as uncharacterized. The record is from RefSeq and is a predicted model, not a curated record. The transcript has 2 exons. NCBI's taxonomy places the organism in Eukaryota, Metazoa, Chordata, Mammalia, Rodentia, Muridae.
GGUAGCAGGGGGAUGAGGAACUGGGGAUAUCCACUGGAGGGUCCCAAAUACCAGAGAAAAGUGAGGCUACCAAGAUCCAACGGGAUUGGCUUUAGCUGUAAUGCAUAGAGAAGGGGGAGAUAGAACCUGUAGAGACCACUCCCAGUAGAUAGCCGUGACCCCUGGUCAAGGGAUGGGGCCAUCCACCCAUCUCAAAGUUUUUUAACCCAGGAAUGUUCCUUUCCACAGGAAGAACAGGGACAAAGAAUGGAACAGAGACUGAAGGAAGGGCCAACUGGAGAUGGCCCCGCCUGGGGAAUACAUUGUGUCUGCAAACACCAAACCUAACACCAUUGCCAUGAUCAUGAGGCACUUGUGGACAGGAAUCAAGUGUGGCAGUUCCUGGGGAGUGGCAUCAAGGGAUAGGAGAGCUGCUCCCAGUUACAGCCAAACCUAAUGAGGUGGGAGAAACAUGACAUCCUCCAUUUAAGUAGGAAGCCAUUCAGAAGAAAACAACUUUAAUAAAGCAAAUAAAACUAUCUACAAAAAGA